AACGAACGCUGGCGGCGUGGAUAAGACAUGCAAGUCGAACGGGAACUUCAGCUGUAGCAAUACAGUUGCAGUUUUAGUGGCGAACGGGUGCGUAACACGUGGGCAAUCUGCCGAGAGGUGGGGGAUAGCUCGCCGAAAGGCGAAUUAAUACCGCAUAUGAUCAGCUAAGACAUCUUAGCGACAUCAAAGCCGGGGCAACCUGGCGCUUUUUGAGGAGCCCGCGGCCUAUCAGCUAGUUGGUGAGGUAACGCUCACCAAGGCUAUGACGGGUAGCUGGUCUGAGAGGACGACCAGUCACACUGGAACUGAGACACGGUCCAGACACCUACGGGUGGCAGCAGUCGAGUAAUUUUUCUCAA
This 359-nucleotide ribosomal RNA is filed under the name uncultured bacterium. Its description in RNAcentral is "bacterial SSU rRNA". It matches the Rfam family "Bacterial small subunit ribosomal RNA", at positions 29 to 371 of the family's 1533-position model. The record is from RNAcentral.